RNAcentral lists this ribosomal RNA (425 nucleotides) under uncultured bacterium. RNAcentral's name for it is "partial 16S ribosomal RNA". It matches the Rfam family "Bacterial small subunit ribosomal RNA", at positions 354 to 796 of the family's 1533-position model. The record is from RNAcentral.
GUGGGGAAUAUUGGACAAUGGGCGAAAGCCUGAUCCAGCAAUGCCGCGUGAGUGAUGAAGGCCUUAGGGUUGUAAAGCUCUUUUACCCGGGAAGAUAAUGACUGUACCGGGAGAAUAAGCCCCGGCUAACUCCGUGCCAGCAGCCGCGGUAAUACGGAGGGGGCUAGCGUUGUUCGGAAUUACUGGGCGUAAAGCGCACGUAGGCGGUUUUGUAAGUUAGAGGUGAAAGCCUGGGGCUCAACCCCAGAAUUGCCUUUAAGACUGCAUCACUUGAACGUCGGAGAGGUGAGUGGAAUUCCGAGUGUAGAGGUGAAAUUCGUAGAUAUUCUGAAGAACACCAGUGGCGAAGGCGGCUCACUGGACGACUGUUGACGCUGAGGUGCGAAAGCGUGGGGAGCAAACAGGAUUAGAUACCCCAGUAGUCC